Molecule: ribosomal RNA, 1343 nt
Filed under: uncultured bacterium
Lineage: Bacteria
Description: 16S ribosomal RNA
Rfam family: Bacterial small subunit ribosomal RNA
Source: RNAcentral
GACGAACGCUGGCGGCGUGCUUAACACAUGCAAGUCGAACGGAAAGGCCCUGCUUUUGUGGGGUGCUCGAGUGGCGAACGGGUGAGUAACACGUGAGUAACCUGCCCUUGACUUUGGGAUAACUUCAGGAAACUGGGGCUAAUACCGGAUAGGAGCUCCUGCUGCAUGGUGGGGGUUGGAAAGUUUCGGCGGUUGGGGAUGGACUCGCGGCUUAUCAGCUUGUUGGUGGGGUAGUGGCUUACCAAGGCUUUGACGGGUAGCCGGCCUGAGAGGGUGACCGGCCACAUUGGGACUGAGAUACGGCCCAGACUCCUACGGGAGGCAGCAGUGGGGAAUAUUGCACAAUGGGCGGAAGCCUGAUGCAGCAACGCCGCGUGCGGGAUGACGGCCUUCGGGUUGUAAACCGCUUUCGCCUGUGACGAAGCGUGAGUGACGGUAAUGGGUAAAGAAGCACCGGCUAACUACGUGCCAGCAGCCGCGGUGAUACGUAGGGUGCGAGCGUUGUCCGGAUUUAUUGGGCGUAAAGGGCUCGUAGGUGGUUGAUCGCGUCGGAAGUGUAAUCUUGGGGCUUAACCCUGAGCGUGCUUUCGAUACGGGUUGACUUGAGGAAGGUAGGGGAGAAUGGAAUUCCUGGUGGAGCGGUGGAAUGCGCAGAUAUCAGGAGGAACACCAGUGGCGAAGGCGGUUCUCUGGGCCUUUCCUGACGCUGAGGAGCGAAAGCGUGGGGAGCGAACAGGCUUAGAUACCCUGGUAGUCCACGCUGUAAACGGUGGGUACUAGGUGUGGGGUCCAUUCCACGGGUUCCGUGCCGUAGCUAACGCUUUAAGUACCCCGCCUGGGGAGUACGGCCGCAAGGCUAAAACUCAAAGGAAUUGACGGGGCCCCGCACAAGCGGCGGAGCAUGCGGAUUAAUUCGAUGCAACGCGUAGAACCUUACCUGGGUUUGACAUGGAUCGGGAGCGCUCAGAGAUGGGUGUGCCUCUUUUGGGGUCGGUUCACAGGUGGUGCAUGGCUGUCGUCAGCUCGUGUCGUGAGAUGUUGGGUUAAGUCCCGCGACGAGCGCAACCCUUGUUCACUGUUGCCAGCACGUUAUGGUGGGGACUCAGUGGAGACCGCCGGGGUCAACUCGGAGGAAGGUGGGGAUGACGUCAAGUCAUCAUGCCCCUUAUGUCCAGGGCUUCACGCAUGCUACAAUGGCUGGUACAGAGAGUGGCGAGCCUGUGAGGGUGAGCGAAUCUCGGAAAGCCGGUCUCAGUUCGGAUUGGGGUCUGCAACUCGACCUCAUGAAGUCGGAGUCGCUAGUAAUCGCAGAUCAGCAACGCUGCGGUGAAUACGUUCCCGGG